CGCGGCCUAUCAGCUUGUUGGUGAGGUAACGGCUCACCAAGGCUUCGACGGGUAGCUGGUCUGAGAGGACGAUCAGCCACACUGGGACUGAGACACGGCCCAGACUCCUACGGGAGGCAGCAGUGGGGAAUCUUGCACAAUGGGCGAAAGCCUGAUGCAGCAACGCCGCGUGAGGGACGAAGGCUUUCUGAGUUGUAAACCUCUUUCAGCAGGGACGAUUGUGACGGUACCUGCAGAAGAAGCCCCGGCCAACUACGUGCCAGCAGCCGCGGUAAUACGUAGGGGGCAAGCGUUGUCCGGAUUUAUUGGGCGUAAAGAGCUCGUAGGCGGCUUGGCAAGUCGGAUGUGAAACCUCCAGGCUCAACCUGGAGUCGCCAUUCGAUACUGCCAUGGCUAGAGUUUGGUAGGGGACCACGGAAUUCCUGGUGUAGCGGUGAAAUGCGCAGAUAUCAGGAGGAACACCAGCGGCGAAGGCGGUGGUCUGGGCCAAUACUGACGCUGAGGAGCGAAAGCGUGGGGAGCGAACAGGAUUAGAUACCCUGGUAGUCCACGCCGUAAACGUUGGGCACUAGGUGUGGGGACCUAUCGACGGUUUCUGUGCCGCAGCUAACGCAUUAAGUGCCCCGCCUGGGGAGUA
This 637-nucleotide ribosomal RNA is filed under the name uncultured bacterium. RNAcentral's name for it is "bacterial SSU rRNA". It matches the Rfam family "Bacterial small subunit ribosomal RNA", at positions 232 to 882 of the family's 1533-position model. The record is from RNAcentral.